This 228-nucleotide non-coding RNA is filed under the name Gossypium arboreum. RNAcentral describes it as "Eukaryotic small subunit ribosomal RNA". It matches the Rfam family "Eukaryotic small subunit ribosomal RNA", at positions 587 to 821 of the family's 1831-position model. The record is from Rfam by way of RNAcentral. Lineage: Eukaryota; Viridiplantae; Streptophyta; Magnoliopsida; Malvales; Malvaceae.
AGCUCCAAUAGCGUAUAUUUAAGUUGUUGCAGUUAAAAAGCUCGUAGUUGGACUUAGGGGUGGGUUGGCCGGUCUACCUCACGGUGAGCACCGGUCUACUCGUCCCCAUUGCCGGCGAUGCGCUCCUGGCCUUAAUUGGCCGGGUCUUUCCUCUGGCGCUGUUACUUUGAAGAAAUUAGAGUGCUCAAAGCAGGCCUACGCUUGUAUACAUUAGCAUCGGAUAACAUC